UGGAAAAAUAAUGCCCGAACCACUGCAGGUUUGGGGCAGGCCGAUUCAUUGUUUUUUCCUGUCGACCACAUGAUACAACGGGAAAUGUGAAUUGCCCAGAGUCCCAUAGCUUCAAUCCAUGGUUUCUCCUCCCUACCAGAAAUCCUUCUGCUUUUUGGAGUCGUAGUCCAAAGUGUUAUUUUUUUUUAAGGUAGCCAAAGAAAAAUCUCUAAUCCUUUUCAAGCUUCGUUUACAGGAGGUUUUUGUGGUUAAAAGCAGGGGUGGACCCCAUAUGGGCUGCGCCUAUGGCCUCUUGCCGGCACAGAUGAUGGAAAUGGGAGCCGACCCACCUCUGGAAGGCCGCUGGUUGCCCACCUUGGCGUAAAAAGGAGGGCACCGCCAUGACCUGUGCCCCCAAAGCGAUGUGCCUUUUAGUGGCCGUGCUGAGAUGGAGCCUCCCUUUCAAAAGCCAUUCUAUCUGCCUCCUGGGAUGUCGGAGGCGUCCGGCAGGAGGCGAGAACGAAAUCCGGUUCCUGGCAGUUUUGUAAACCCUGGAUGGAAAGGAUGAUUGACGGGGUUCAUCAUAGGGGGCUGCAGGAAUAUGCCAGUUGCCAGUCGUACGCGUUCAUGAAAGGCGUGGGCACCUUCGUUAUAGGCAGCGGCUUAGCCUUCGUCGUUCAGGGCUUCAAUCGGAAGUGGCGUUACUCCCUCCAGUGGAAUGUCCUCUUCUCCACAGGUUAGUAGCUGAACAAAAUGCCUUGUGGGGGGGAAACCCAGGGGUCAUCCAACCCACCCCUUCAGCAAGGCAGGGGAAUCCACCCCAGCGCCGACUGGGAAGAUCUUGAGGCCGGAGUGGUGGUGGUCACCUGCCUCAUAUUUCGUUAGGAUGUCUUUUCUUGUCUUUCGACCCUCUCGAUGGCGUUUCACGUUAUAAUUAGAGGGGUGCGUUUUGUACGCUGUGCGGUAUCUGAAAGUAAAAAAUAUCUACUUUUAAUAUCACGAUCGAUGAUGGCGGCUGAGCAGCUGCUUUUAUUGUGGGUUAAAAGGC
RNAcentral lists this long non-coding RNA (1027 nucleotides) under Pogona vitticeps (central bearded dragon). RNAcentral's name for it is "lncRNA (ENSPVIG00000004726.1)". Lineage: Eukaryota; Metazoa; Chordata; Lepidosauria; Squamata; Agamidae. The record is from RNAcentral.